UACGUAGGGGGCAAGCGUUGUCCGGAAUCAUUGGGCGUAAAGGGCAGGUAGGUGGUCUCGUUUGUCUGGGGUGAAAGCCUUGAGCUUAACUCAAGAAGUGCCCCGGAAACGGCGAGACUGGAGUCUUGGAGAGGGUCGUGGAAUUCCCGGUGUAGCGGUGAAAUGCGUAGAGAUCGGGAGGAACACCAGAGGCGAAGGCGGCGACCUGGACAAGUACUGACACUCAACUGCGAAAGCGUGGGGAGCAAAAGGG
This 253-nucleotide ribosomal RNA is filed under the name uncultured bacterium. Its description in RNAcentral is "partial 16S ribosomal RNA". It matches the Rfam family "Bacterial small subunit ribosomal RNA", at positions 524 to 776 of the family's 1533-position model. The record is from RNAcentral.